RNAcentral lists this long non-coding RNA (239 nucleotides) under Lathyrus oleraceus (garden pea). RNAcentral's name for it is "Pisum sativum (pea) long non-coding RNA (PSAT_LNC039222)". Lineage: Eukaryota; Viridiplantae; Streptophyta; Magnoliopsida; Fabales; Fabaceae. The record is from RNAcentral.
AGGUGUGGUAUAAAGAGUUUGAUAGAUGACGCGUAACACUACCUUAUAAUAAUGGUUUAGAGAUUAAAUAUGUACAUGAAAAUAUGAAUGAUGUGUUUUACUUGUGAAAGUCUUAUGAGAUGAUUAUUUAAUAUUUAUAUGAUUAUGAAUUUAAGGGUUUGUUACGAGUUGACGAAGAGCGUGACAAAUUAAUGUGAUAAAAUAUUAUGAUGAGUUAAAUAAUAUUUGAAAUAUGUGUA